This 380-nucleotide ribosomal RNA is filed under the name uncultured eukaryote. Its description in RNAcentral is "partial 18S ribosomal RNA". It matches the Rfam family "Eukaryotic small subunit ribosomal RNA", at positions 592 to 976 of the family's 1831-position model. The record is from RNAcentral.
CAAUAGCGUAUAUUAAAGCUGUUGCGGUUAAAAAGCUCGUAGUUGGAUUUCUGUCAAGGACGACUGGUCCGCCCUCCGGGUGAGCACAUAGUUUGGUCUUGGCAUCUUGCUGGAAGCUGUGCUGUGCUUGGCUGUACGGUACAGGGUCCAGCACUUUCACUUUGAGGAAAUUGGAGUGUUUCAAGCAGGCACAUGCCUUUGGACACAGUAGCAUGGAAUAAUUUGAUUGGGCUUCUGCUCCAAUUUGUCGGUUUCUGGAGCUGAGGUUAGAAUUAAUGGGGAUUGUUGGGGGCAUCCGAAUUUAGCCGUCAGAGGUGAAAUUCUUGGAUUUGUUAAAGACGGACUACUGCGAAAGCAUUUGCCAAGGAUGUUUUCAUUGA